GGACCCGCACAAGCAGUGGAGCAUGUGGUUUAAUUCGAUGCAACGCGAAAAACCUUACCUACUCUUGACAUACUUGGGAGCUCUUGUAAUGAGAGUGUGCCUUUUGGAACCAAGAUACAGGUGCUGCAUGGUUGUCGUCAGCUCGUGCCGUGAGGUGUUAGGUUAAGUCCUGCAACGAGCGCAACCCCUAUUCUUAGUUGCCAGCGGUUCGGCCGGGGACUCUAAGAAGACUGCCAGCGCAAGCUGAGAGGAAGGUGGGAUGACGUCAAAUCAUCACGGCCCUUACGUCCUGGGCUACACACGUGCUACAAUGGUAGAGACAGAGGGCAGCCACCUGGUGACAGGGAG
This 348-nucleotide ribosomal RNA is filed under the name uncultured bacterium. Its description in RNAcentral is "bacterial SSU rRNA". It matches the Rfam family "Bacterial small subunit ribosomal RNA", at positions 917 to 1267 of the family's 1533-position model. The record is from RNAcentral.